This 248-nucleotide signal recognition particle RNA is filed under the name Deltaproteobacteria bacterium. RNAcentral's name for it is "signal recognition particle sRNA large type". It matches the Rfam family "Bacterial large signal recognition particle RNA". From Rfam's summary of the family: The signal recognition particle (SRP) is a universally conserved ribonucleoprotein involved in the co-translational targeting of proteins to membranes. Archaeal SRP consists of a 7S RNA and homologues of the eukaryotic SRP19 and SRP54 proteins. The record is from RNAcentral. Lineage: Bacteria; Pseudomonadati; Myxococcota; Myxococcia.
UUGUGCUAGGCGGGGAGUUAGCGGUGCCCUGAACCCGAAAACCGCUUUAUGCGGGGCUGAAUCCCCUGUCAAGGGUUCGCCCCCGAUAAUCCGGGGAUCUCCCGGCCGGACACCGCGCAACAACCGGUCAUGAACCUCGUCAGGUCCGGAAGGAAGCAGCGAUAAGUGAUGCGGGUUGUGUCGCGGAUCGACCCCGGCCACCCAUAGGUCCUUGUUUUACCGGGAAGAACUCGAAGCAGGGUGCACAA